AUACAAACAUACAUAUGCGUACACAUAUGUAUAUGUCACCAACAAAAAAUUGAUCUUCACAAGUCAAUCCGGCAGCCAAAUUGGCGAAGGACAAAAGAGAGAUGAUUACGCUGCAUAUUCUCUUCCGCAACGAAGAGACGGAACUACUUUCUGAGUCAAAAUUCAUUCAUUUAGACUUUGCUUUAUUCUUCAUUUUAUGUGCAUAAUAAAUUUAUAAAAUGUGAAUUUAAGUGUUCUAGUUUUCUUUCAUACAAAAUGAUAUGCAUUUCUGAAUAUCACUAAGAAGUAUAACUUCAUCUGCGCGUAGGGACUCCACGACGCUUUUUUUUUACAAAGCUCGGGGCAGUAUACGGCGAAAACGUUAAUGUGGACGAUCUUUUACUGGAUCCUACAACGGUGUCGCGGAACGUGCAAAAGGCUGCAGAGAAAAAGAAAAUAGAGAUUCGAGAGGAGAUUGCUGAAGCUGUACGCAGUGGAGGAGCAUCAGCCACUAUUGAUAUGUGGACAGACAAUUACGUACGGAGAAAUUUUUUAGGCGUCACAUUCCACUACACCAGGGAUGGGCAUAUUAGCCCUCAGUGGCAUUUUGCCCGUGCGGGCACGAGCGCACAUUUUGAGGGCUAGGUGAGGGGAUCAUCGCGGGCAAACAUGAAGAGGGAAGUGAGAGCAACGUAUUUUACCACACCAUGUUUACAAAUGAGAGCGCACGCAUAUAUGGGAAGUUGCACUUUGAGUAAUAAUAGUAAAAUUGCCUAACAAUUUUAAGUUUCUUUGUAACUACUAUAAAUUUAUAAAAUGUAAGACAAAUAACAAAAAGUAUAAUAAAUAUUUGAUUUUAGUAAUCACUUUUUUAAUAUAUCUUUAUAUCAGCAUUUAAUUUUGUUUAUUUGAAAUAAUAAAUUAUAUGUUUGGUUUAAUCUCACUUGCUAUAGCUCCACGCAUUAUUGUACCAAGUACCAAAAUUUAAAUCCGAUAACCUACUUCUUAUUUUAUAUAUAAUUUUCGAAGCAAAUUGUUUCAAACCAGUUUAUUUCUUUAAACUUCCUUAUAAAAAGUAAGUUCAAUAAUAACUUCAGUUUAUGAACCACUUUUUCUUCAAACACAUAUGACCAAAUGAAUCUUAUGAGAGCGCAAUGUAAAUACAGGUAUCCCUCGAAUAGCACGGUACUUGAGUUGCACGAAAUCUCGAAUAGCACGGUUAAAAAUUGCGACAACCCUCGAAUAACACGGGGUUCGAAUUACACGAAGCCGCGAAAAUUCCUUUUAAAAAUUGAAAUUUAAGGAUCCUCUACCUCUUCAAGGAAAAACAAAUCAAUCUUUGGAGAGUGACAGUGGUUGAACAUACGUAAUUUAAAAAUUAUUGCGUUUAUAAAUUUUUACCUUUUAAAUUUCAAAUAACACGAUUUCGAAUAACACGUAACCAAUUAACCGUGUUAUUCGAGGGAAACCUGUAAUUACCCAACAACCCUUCUACCACCCGCCAAUCCUAGAAUUUCCAACGACUCAGCUGAUUGCUCUCUCACUCCGCAGGGUUGCCAGGCUCGAUAUAAUGUAGUAAUUAUAAAAAUUGUCUUCAAUAUAUUUGAAAUUUUCUUAAAAUAACUCAAAUUCAGAAUGUAAUGCUAUUAUUUACAAAUAUAUAAACUAGUUUUAAUAGUUUGAUUUCAGUUUUUAUAUUUAUUAUUAUAAAAAUUAUAAUUGAAAACUUAUAUGUGUACAAAACUUCAUAUGCGUAUUGGGUAAUGACAACAUUGUUCGAAUGAAAACGAGAACAAAACGCUUGCCGCUUGUGGCGAAGUGAGAAGAUGUUUCCGCCAUUAGCGUUUGUAUUCUAUUUGUGUGCUUAUAGAGGCCAUACACGGGCACACAUGUGCGUUCGAUUGCUAUGUGUGAACAUGCGGUUUACUCGUGUAUGGGCUUGUUCGCGUACCGAUCCAUGUUCGCGAAAAUGUUUGAUUUUUACGAUCGGUGCGCGAACAUGUUUAUCGUGUAUGGCGUUGUGAGCGCACAAAAUCUCAUUUCUCUCGUGUCGCCGAGCAGUGAAGAUCGCGGACAAUUGCAAAUGUUAAGGAGAGAGACUGCUUUAGAGGCUUCAAAAACUCGAUUUUUUUUAGGAUUUUUUUGGGAGGGAAAGAAAUAAUUGAUUCAAGCGAAAUCUAUAACUUUGUUUUUGUUAGAUAAUUUUUAAAGAGAUUUAAGCGAUUGUUUGAAGCUUCUAAAGCAGACUCUCCCCUUAAUAAAGAUUUCGUAUCUGAAUUUAUUGAUCUUAUAAAAAAUUUCUUGGCAAUUUAGCGAACGAAAAGUGAUAAAUAUAAAAAUAAAAUUGAGAAAAAUAAAAGUUGGAAUAACUUAUUAACGAAAUACAAAGAAAUAGAUAAAAGUGCUACAACAGAAAUAAAUUCGAAGAAAUGUUCCGCUUGCCUGUCGCACAUGUUAACUGUGUGAAGAACGAACGCAAAAUGGAUUUGUGUGUCGUGUAUGGGCAAACGAAUUCACACAGAUCGAACGCACAUGUGUGCCCGUGUAUGGCCUCUAUUACCCUGCAAGACGGAGGUAACAGAUUGCACAAACACAUUGAAAUAUUUUCAGCUGUUCACUAACACUGUUACAUUUUGUGCGAUUUUCAAUUGCAUGGGAGAAUACGUAAGUAAGAUAGAGAACAACUAACGACAUUCUAAACAUAUUGUAAUGUUAACUAGCUAGAAUAGGAGAGACGAAUACUCAAUUUUUCAAGAAGAAGAAAACGAAAAGCGCAGUUUCAAGAAUGAUAAAAACAAAGAUUGCGCAGUGACGAGUUCAAAUUUUGUUCGUUGUUCGUUGUAUUGCAGGCAUACAAAAUCAUGAAUAUCAUCAAAAGUUAACAUCAAUAUAAGUGAAUAUUAAUAAAAGAUAUCAAUAUAAGUGAAUAUUUUAUAGUGAACAUUUACCUACAUAUUCAUUUAACUGAAUUUUCAUUGUAUUAUUUAAUUUUGUCUCGUUGCUGUGUUUGUUUCAACCAUUUAUAUAUAACCCAAAAGCUGGAUGCCAUUAAGAGCCGUCUCACUGCAAUUUAAAAGUCCCUAACAAACAAAAUGCCAGAAAAGGCCGAGAUGCAGGCGCAUGCCGCGUCAUAGCGGCAAAGACAAACAUUUCAAUUAGCCGCAUCACCGGUGACUUGGAGGAUGAGCAUUACGUGGAGCUCGAGUCGAAAUUGCCUAUGUCAUCGGAAGAGAACGGGUGCUUCGGGGACAAACAGUCACAAAUGAAAAUGGAUAUUAGUUUUAAGUUGUAAAUAUUAGUUUUAAGUUUGACAUAUUAGUUUUAAGUUGUAAAUAUUAGUUCUAAGUUGUAUAUAUUAGUUCUAAGUUGAAGUCUCUAAAUUUAGUUUUACAAAUAUGCUUUUUUAACUAAUAACUUUUAUACUGAAGUAAACUUAAUCUUAUGUUUAAGUAAAUAUGAUUUUAUUAUUAAAUAAAGCGAAAUAAUAAAAAAAACUGAGUUUUAUUUAAAAGAAUUGAAUUUGCUAGAAGAAACAAAUGGGUAACAGAUAAUCUUGUUACUGCUUGUUCUUCCUAACAUGCUUAUAUGUUAAAGGUAACAAACUGAUAACCAAAAUAAUAACACUAACAGAUAUUCGGGUAACAAAUACUUUUUGUUAUCCAUAACACAUAGGUAAGCUAUGCGCUAACAAAAUAAUUUGUUACCCGUAACAUACUGUGAAGAGAUUUGCUAACAAAUGUGUGUAUUCUGUUAGAACAAGGCAGCAUGCGAUAUUUGCCAUUGGUUAGAGCGAGAUAACCAUUGAACAUCAAAUAGCUAUGUGUUACUUUUUUCCCACUCUCUGAACAAAAGUAACAAAUAUUGGAACGAAGUUCCUUACGGCAGGCUUGCAGAAGGGAGAUUUUGCUGCGGGAGCUAACUGAAAAAUAAAUAAAAACCGUAAGAAAUAACCCGUAAGAAAUAACCCGUAAGAAAUAUCCGUAAGAAAUAACCCGUAAGAAAUAACCUGUAAAUAAAUAAAAACCGUAAGAAAUAACCCGUAAGAAAUAACCCGUAAGAAAUAUCCGUAAGAAAUAACCCGUAAGAAAUAACCUGUAAGAUCGCUAGUUAUAGCCU
Long non-coding RNA from Bactrocera dorsalis (oriental fruit fly), 4095 nucleotides. RefSeq lists it as uncharacterized. Lineage: Eukaryota; Metazoa; Arthropoda; Insecta; Diptera; Tephritidae. The transcript has 3 exons. The record is from RefSeq and is a predicted model, not a curated record.